Molecule: microRNA precursor, 131 nt
Filed under: Glycine max (soybean)
Lineage: Eukaryota; Viridiplantae; Streptophyta; Magnoliopsida; Fabales; Fabaceae
Description: miR4407 stem-loop (gma-MIR4407)
Source: miRBase by way of RNAcentral
AAGUUGUCUGGGUUGAGGUAAAGUGUUGCUUCGUCUAAGUAAUUAAUGUUGCCUUCAUUCAAUUCAAUUUGAGUUACGCUACGUGCAUUACACUCAGAGGAAGCAGCACUUGUACCUCAACUAAUUAACUU